AGUGAACGCUGGCGGUAGGCCUAACACAUGCAAGUCGAACGGCAGCACAGUAAGAGCUUGCUCUUACGGGUGGCGAGUGGCGGACGGGUGAGGAAUACAUCGGAAUCUACUUUUUCGUGGGGGAUAACGUAGGGAAACUUACGCUAAUACCGCAUACGACCUACGGGUGAAAGCAGGGGAUCUUCGGACCUUGCGCGAUUGAAUGAGCCGAUGUCGGAUUAGCUAGUUGGCGGGGAAAAGGCCCACCAAGGCGACGAUCCGUAGCUGGUCUGAGUGGAUGAUCGGCCACACUGGAACUGAGACACGGUCCAGACUCCUACGGGGGGCAGAAGUGGGGAAUAUUGGACAAUGGGCACAGGCCUGAUCCAGCCAUCCCGCGUCGGGAAAGAAGGCCUUCGGUUUGAAAAGCCCUUUUGUUGGGAAGAAAAAGCAGCAGAUUAAUACCCCCCUGUUCUGACGGUACCCAAAGAAAAAGCAACGGCUAACUUCGUG
This 492-nucleotide ribosomal RNA is filed under the name uncultured bacterium. RNAcentral describes it as "partial 16S ribosomal RNA". It matches the Rfam family "Bacterial small subunit ribosomal RNA", at positions 29 to 507 of the family's 1533-position model. The record is from RNAcentral.